Odocoileus virginianus texanus is the source of this 599-nucleotide non-coding RNA. NCBI's taxonomy places the organism in Eukaryota, Metazoa, Chordata, Mammalia, Artiodactyla, Cervidae. The record is from RefSeq and is a predicted model, not a curated record.
UCGAACAUCACCUACUCGGAGCCAGAAACUGUUCAAAGCCUGACGACGAUGAGCUCGGAUCCCAUUUUGCAGAUGAGUUGCCGGAAGUUCAGAGGGGUCCUCGUGCAAAGUGUCUUACAGGUAACGAGCGGGAGAAGGAAGAGUCAGACUUAAACAGGCCCCUGUUUACAGGAUUACAGGAGCACCAGGCCCCUGCUCUGAAGCCACUAGGCUGUGUGACCUCCCUAAGAGACUGAAGGCUCAUGUGAAGUGGACACGUUGGUGCACGUUCACACCAAGUGUCCGCGUGCCGCAGAGUGCUGAAAUUAUUCACCGCGUUCUCAGUGAGGCUUGGAAACUCGUUCAGAGUCAGCAAGUGGAGCGAGUGUUCUAGAAAUGCACCUGGAAGACAAAUUCUCAUCAAUUAGUUACUAACUGCCGUCUGGAUGCAGAAGGUGUGAUCCUGAAAUGUGGAGACAUCGCUGUUUCUUGUACAUCCAGUGAGUGCUGGGGAAACAAAGAUGCAUAAAAUAACAUCCUCAUUCUUGAGGAAGACUCCCACCGGCUAUGGGGGAAGCCAGGCUCAUCAACCAUCAUGGUACAACCUGUAAGGGAGCCCA